GGAGCGAACAAGCGCGGUGGGCACGGCCCCGCUCCCGGCGCAGGCCGGUAACCGCAGGGGAGGUACAAUGGUCACCCAAACCCACAGAUACCGCCUUUUUCUCAAGGACUCGUGCCCAGAGCAUCCAGCCGCCCCCUCUGGUACCGCACGAGUCAGGGCACGGAGGUGAUCCGGACGAGUGGAUUUACUACACUCACGGCUUUUCAUCUGCACUGUGAAUGGUCACAGGGGAGGAACCCUGCCCACACCUGGCGUCAGGGCUGGACGCGGGGUGCAGAUGUGCGGUGGCACAGCAGAGACCUCGCGGGGAUGGGACCGGUGCUCCCAGCCUGCAGCACAGAAGAGACCGCUGUACCUGGGGAUAUUCGAAUUUUGGCUAGUUGACAGCACAAGCCCAUCCUACAGGUGACCACAGCAAUUGGCCAUCGACAUGCAAGUUAAAAAGCAGCCCUGGGCAGCCGUGUCCCAGCAAUGACCAGCUGAGCUCCCUGGGCACAGCCGUGCAACAGCACACAUCAGGUCUAGCCGGCAUUUUCACUACUGCAGCUGAAGAGCCUUCUAAAAGUAAAGCAGACUACAACAAAACAAAACAAUAGAAGAUUCACAAGGCGGUACUAUAAUAUUUUAAAUUUUAAGGUGACAUUAAAUUUCAUACAAAUAAACUUCCAAAAAUAUUUUGCAAACUCUGGCGUAUGACUAUGAUACAAUAUGUACAAAUAAAAUACCAGAAUGGUUA
Cyanistes caeruleus (blue tit) is the source of this 736-nucleotide long non-coding RNA. RefSeq lists it as uncharacterized. NCBI's taxonomy places the organism in Eukaryota, Metazoa, Chordata, Aves, Passeriformes, Paridae. The record is from RefSeq and is a predicted model, not a curated record.